AGGAGGGAACACCUAAGCUCAUGGGGUCUCUGCUCAUCAGAGCCAUUAACCUGACCGCUCCAUGGGGUCUUCUAGGAGCAGCAAUGGUUUUUACAAAGUGGCUUACAUGAGAACAGCAAAGUGAUUUUUCGACACUCCAGCAUGGGUGAGAGGGUCUGGAGAAAAGUUCUGCGUGCUGCCACUACCAACCGAAGAGGUCAGGGUCUUCCAGUCUUCCCACAAUGUGUCCAAAUGCCUAUGCAACGGAAAGCAGAAGCUCCAGAAGCAGAACAAUUUCAUCAGCACCUUGCUGCACACACACAAAUGAUCUCUGUUUGGAUGCAGAUGUGGUGGCACUCUGUCUGUGCUUCCCUUCAGCUGAGCUGGCACCUCUGCAGAUCCCGGCUAUGCAGCAUGUGACAGUCUGUGCUCUGUUAGCUUCAGCUCAGCAGGGUCCUGCCCUGCUGUGCCAUGCACUACAGGUAGCGUGUCCAGCAUGA
RNAcentral lists this long non-coding RNA (479 nucleotides) under Anser cygnoides (Swan goose). Its description in RNAcentral is "lncRNA (ENSACDG00005010636.1)". Lineage: Eukaryota; Metazoa; Chordata; Aves; Anseriformes; Anatidae. The record is from RNAcentral.